This 28-nucleotide small RNA is filed under the name Bombyx mori (domestic silkworm). Its description in RNAcentral is "ovarian small RNA-37877". Lineage: Eukaryota; Metazoa; Arthropoda; Insecta; Lepidoptera; Bombycidae. The record is from RNAcentral.
UUGCGUAUCGUUUGCUCAAUGCAGUUGC